UAGGAUAAGUGGGAGCUUC
This 19-nucleotide small nuclear RNA is filed under the name Arabidopsis thaliana (thale cress). Its description in RNAcentral is "snRNA_14483". The record is from RNAcentral. Lineage: Eukaryota; Viridiplantae; Streptophyta; Magnoliopsida; Brassicales; Brassicaceae.